RNAcentral lists this ribosomal RNA (288 nucleotides) under uncultured bacterium. RNAcentral's name for it is "partial 16S ribosomal RNA". It matches the Rfam family "Bacterial small subunit ribosomal RNA", at positions 335 to 637 of the family's 1533-position model. The record is from RNAcentral.
CCCCCUACGGGACGCAGCAGUGGGGAAUAUUGGGCAAUGGGCGCAAGCCUGACCCAGCAACGCCGCGUGAAGGAAGAAGGCUUUCGGGUUGUAAACUUCUUUUCUGAGGGACGAAGAAAGUGACGGUACCUCAGGAAUAAGCCACGGCUAACUACGUGCCAGCAGCCGCGGUAAUACGUAGGUGGCAAGCGUUAUCCGGAUUUAUUGGGUGUAAAGGGCGUGUAGGCGGGAAAGCAAGUCAGAUGUGAAAACUCAGGGCUCAACCCUGAGCCUGCAUUUGAAACUGUU